This 805-nucleotide ribosomal RNA is filed under the name uncultured bacterium. Its description in RNAcentral is "bacterial SSU rRNA". It matches the Rfam family "Bacterial small subunit ribosomal RNA", at positions 24 to 842 of the family's 1533-position model. The record is from RNAcentral.
UCGGGACGAACGCUGGCGGCGCGCCUAACACAUGCCAGUCGAACGAGAGAUGAGGAGCUUGCUCUUCAAAUCGAGUGGCGAACGGGUGAGUAACGCGUGAGGAACCUGCCUCAAAGAGGGGGACAACAGUUGGAAACGACUGCUAAUACCGCAUAAGCCCACGGCUCGGCAUCGAGCAGAGGGAAAAGGAGCAAUCCGCUUUGAGUUGGCCUCGCGUCCGAUUAGCUAGUUGGUGAGGUAACGGCCCACCAAGGCGACGAUCGGUAGCCGGACUGAGAGGUUGAACGGCCACAUUGGGACUGAGACACGGCCCAGACUCCUACGGGAGGCAGCAGUGGGGAAUAUUGCACAAUGGGGGAAACCCUGAUGCAGCGACGCCGCGUGGAGGAAGAAGGUCUUCGGAUUGUAAACUCCUGUUGUUGAGGAAGAUAAUGACGGUACUCAACAAGGAAGUGACGGCUAACUACGUGCCAGCAGCCGCGGUAAAACGUAGGUCACAAGCGUUGUCCGGAAUUACUGGGUGUAAAGGGAGCGCAGGCGGGAGAACAAGUUGGAAGUGAAAUCCAUGGGCUCAACCCAUGAACUGCUUUCAAAACUGUUUUUCUUGAGUAGUGCAGAGGUAGGCGGAAUUCCCGGUGUAGCGGUGGAAUGCGUAGAUAUCGGGAGGAACACCAGUGGCGAAGGCGGCCUACUGGGCACCAACUGACGCUGAGGCUCGAAAGUGUGGGUAGCAAACAGGAUUAGAUACCCUGGUAGUCCACACCGUAAACGAUGAUUACUAGGUGUUGGAGGAUUGACCCCUUCA